AGCGAACGCUGGCGGCAGGCCUAACACAUGCAAGUCGAACGAACUCUUCGGAGUUAGUGGCGGACGGGUGAGUAACACGUGGGAACGUGCCUUUAGGUUCGGAAUAACUCAGGGAAACUUGUGCUAAUACCGAAUGUGCCCUUCGGGGGAAAGAUUUAUCGCCUUUAGAGCGGCCCGCGUCUGAUUAGCUAGUUGGUGAGGUAAAGGCUCACCAAGGCGACGAUCAGUAGCUGGUCUGAGAGGAUGAUCAGCCACAUUGGGACUGAGACACGGCCCAAACUCCUACGGGAGGCAGCAGUGGGGGAUCUUGCGAAAUGGGCGAAAGCAUGACGCAGCCAUGCCGGGUGAAUGAUGAAGGUCUUAGGAUUGUAAAAUUCUUUCACCGGGGACGAUAAUGACGGUACCCGGAGAAGAAGCCCCGGCUAACUUCGUG
This 433-nucleotide ribosomal RNA is filed under the name uncultured bacterium. RNAcentral describes it as "partial 16S ribosomal RNA". It matches the Rfam family "Bacterial small subunit ribosomal RNA", at positions 29 to 507 of the family's 1533-position model. The record is from RNAcentral.